GAGCUGUGUUGCUACAGUUGGAUUUAUCUAAAUCGAGGGCUGGUUAUCUAUACUGUCACCGUGAUUUCGUUGGAUGGAUAUGAUAAGGAUAAAUUAAAAGUGAUAGGAGGUAAUAGUGAGCUGAGACUGAAUUAAUAAGGAUAAAG
Molecule: long non-coding RNA, 146 nt
Organism: Temnothorax curvispinosus
Lineage: Eukaryota; Metazoa; Arthropoda; Insecta; Hymenoptera; Formicidae
Exons: 3
Source: RefSeq, a predicted model, not a curated record